GGCGGCGUGCCUAAUCUGCAAGUAGAACGCACAGGAUGCACCGUAGUUUACUACACCGUGUUCUGUGAGUUGCGAACGGGUGAGUAACGCGUAGGUAACCUGCCUGGUAGCGGGGGAUAACUAUUGGAAACGAUAGCUAAUACCGCAUAAGAACAUUUACUGCAUGGUAGACGUUUAAAAGGUGCAAAAGCAUCACUACCAGAUGGACCUGCGUAGUAUUAGCUAAUUGGUGAGGUAACGGCUCACCAAGGCAACGAUACAUAGCCGACCUGAGAGGGUGAUCGGCCACACUGGAACUGAGACACGGCCCAGUACUCCUACCGGAGGCAGCAGUACGGAAUCUUCGGCAAUGGGGGGAACCCUGACCGAGCAACGCCGCGUGAGUGAAGAAGGUUUUCGGAUCGUAAAGCUCUGUUGUUAAGGAAGAACGUGUGUGAGAGUGGAAAGUUCACACAGUGACGGUACUUAACCAGAAAGAGACGGCUAACUACGUGCCAGCAGCCGCGGUAAUACGUAGGUCCCGAGCGUUGUCCGGAUUUAUUGGGGCGUAAAGCGAGCGCAGGCGGUUAGAUAAGUCUGAAGUGAAAGGCAGUGGCUCAACCAUUGUA
RNAcentral lists this ribosomal RNA (608 nucleotides) under Streptococcus constellatus. RNAcentral's name for it is "bacterial SSU rRNA". It matches the Rfam family "Bacterial small subunit ribosomal RNA", at positions 38 to 620 of the family's 1533-position model. Lineage: Bacteria; Bacillati; Bacillota; Bacilli; Lactobacillales; Streptococcaceae. The record is from RNAcentral.